UGUCCCUGACCUGGGUAGAGUGGCAUCUGGUUGGUGGUGCCCAUCUCAUAUCACCAGGGACAAAGUAACCCCUUGUUCAUCCCAACUUGGCUAAAAAAAAAAGGAAUACUCAUUUUAAGGGAUAACAGCAUGGCAGAAAAAGGGGCAAAUAA
RNAcentral lists this small nucleolar RNA (152 nucleotides) under Macaca mulatta (Rhesus monkey). RNAcentral's name for it is "Small nucleolar RNA SNORA48 (ENSMMUG00000059694.1)". It matches the Rfam family "Small nucleolar RNA SNORA48". From Rfam's summary of the family: The snoRNA ACA 48 has been identified to guide pseudouridylation of the residue U3797 in the 28S rRNA subunit. Its host gene EIF4A1 (eukaryotic translation initiation factor 4A1) is shared with U67 and snoRNA mgU6-77 Lineage: Eukaryota; Metazoa; Chordata; Mammalia; Primates; Cercopithecidae. The record is from Rfam by way of RNAcentral.